AUGAACGCUGGCGGCGUGCCUAACACAUGCAAGUCGAACGGAGUUAACGCUGAUGAGCUUCGGCAGAUCUGUAAACUAGUGGCGGACGGGUGAGUAACGCGUGGGUAACCUGCCUCAUACAGGGGGAUAGCAGUUGGAAACGACUGAUAACACCGCAUAAGCGCACAGUAUCGCAUGAUACAGUGUGAAAAAUAUUUAUAGGUAUGAGAUGGACCCGCGUCUGAUUAGCUAGUUGGUGAGGUAACGGCCCACCAAGGCGACGAUCAGUAGCCGGCCUGAGAGGGCGGACGGCCACAUUGGGACUGAGACACGGCCCAAACUCCUACGGGAGGCAGCAGUGGGGGAUAUUGCACAAUGGGCGAAAGCCUGAUGCAGCGACGCCGCCGUGAGUGAAGAAGUAUUUCGGUAUGUAAAGCUCUAUCAGCAGGGAAGAAAGACCUCGUAAGAGGGGAUGACGGUACCUGAGUAAGAAGCCCCGGCUAACUACGUGCCAGCCGCGGC
RNAcentral lists this ribosomal RNA (501 nucleotides) under uncultured bacterium. RNAcentral's name for it is "bacterial SSU rRNA". It matches the Rfam family "Bacterial small subunit ribosomal RNA", at positions 29 to 518 of the family's 1533-position model. The record is from RNAcentral.